This 253-nucleotide ribosomal RNA is filed under the name uncultured bacterium. Its description in RNAcentral is "partial 16S ribosomal RNA". It matches the Rfam family "Bacterial small subunit ribosomal RNA", at positions 524 to 776 of the family's 1533-position model. The record is from RNAcentral.
CACGAACCGUACGAACGUUAUUCGGAAUUACUGGGCUUAAAGGGUUUGUAGGCGGCUUUGUAAGUCAGGUGUGAAAGCCCUCGGCUCAACCGAGGAACAGCGCUUGAUACUGCAAGGCUUGAGGGAGACAGGGGUAAGCGGAACUGAUGGUGGAGCGGUGAAAUGCGUUGAUAUCAUUAGGAACUCCGGUGGCGAAGGCGGCACGCUGGACCUCUUCUGACGCUGAGGCGCGAAAGCCAGGGGAGCAAACGGG